UACAGAGGGGGCUAGCGUUGUUCGGAAUUACUGGGCGUAAAGGGCGCGUAGGUGGCCUGUUAAGUCGAACGUGAAAUCCCCGGGCUCAACCCGGGAACUGCGUCCGAGACUGGCAGGCUCGAAUCCGGGAGAGGGAUGUGGAAUUCCAGGUGUAGCGGUGAAAUGCGUAGAUAUCUGGAGGAACACCGGUGGCGAAGGUGGCAUCCUGGACCGGUAUUGACGCUGAGGCGCGAAAGCCAGGGGAGCAAACGGG
This 253-nucleotide ribosomal RNA is filed under the name uncultured bacterium. RNAcentral's name for it is "partial 16S ribosomal RNA". It matches the Rfam family "Bacterial small subunit ribosomal RNA", at positions 524 to 776 of the family's 1533-position model. The record is from RNAcentral.